GAUCAUGGCUCAGAUUGAACGCUGGCGGCAUGCCUUACACAUGCAAGUCGAACGGUAACGGGCCUUCGGGUGCCGACGAGUGGCGAACGGGUGAGUAAUGCAUCGGAACGUACCUUUCAGUGGGGGAUAACGUAGCGAAAGUUACGCUAAUACCGCAUAUUCUGUGAGCAGGAAAGCAGGGGAUCGCAAGACCUUGCGCUGAUUGAGCGGCCGAUGUCAGAUUAGCUAGUUGGUGAGGUAAAGGCUCACCAAGGCGACGAUCUGUAGCGGGUCUGAGAGGAUGAUCCGCCACACUGGAACUGAGACACGGUCCAGACUCCUACGGGAGGCAGCAGUGGGGAAUUUUGGACAAUGGGGGCAACCCUGAUCCAGCCAUGCCGCGUGAGUGAAGAAGGCCUUCGGGUUGUAAAGCUCUUUCGGCCGGGAAGAAAUCGCAUGGGUUAAUACCCUGUGCGGAUGACGGUACCGGCAUAAGAAGCACCGGCUAACUACGUG
Molecule: ribosomal RNA, 495 nt
Filed under: uncultured bacterium
Lineage: Bacteria
Description: bacterial SSU rRNA
Rfam family: Bacterial small subunit ribosomal RNA
Source: RNAcentral